UGUUGAGAAAUGAAUAGUUCAUAUAUGAUUUCGGCUCAUAGUUUGGUGGUUUUAUCACCCUUAAUAU
RNAcentral lists this transfer RNA (67 nucleotides) under Cellana toreuma. RNAcentral describes it as "tRNA-Arg". The record is from RNAcentral. Lineage: Eukaryota; Metazoa; Mollusca; Gastropoda; Nacellidae.